This 807-nucleotide ribosomal RNA is filed under the name uncultured Gammaproteobacteria bacterium. RNAcentral describes it as "bacterial SSU rRNA". It matches the Rfam family "Bacterial small subunit ribosomal RNA", at positions 89 to 896 of the family's 1533-position model. Lineage: Bacteria; Pseudomonadati; Pseudomonadota; Gammaproteobacteria. The record is from RNAcentral.
UGAUUAGUGGCGGACGGGUGAGUAACAUUUAGGAAUCUACCUAGUAGUGGGGGAUAGCUCGGGGAAACUCGAAUUAAUACCGCAUACGACCUACGGGUGAAAGGGGGCGCAAGCUCUUGCUAUUAGAUGAGCCUAAAUCAGAUUAGCUAGUUGGUGGGGUAAAGGCCCACCAAGGCGACGAUCUGUAACUGGUCUGAGAGGAUGAUCAGUCACACCGGAACUGAGACACGGUCCGGACUCCUACGGGAGGCAGCAGUGGGGAAUAUUGGACAAUGGGGGCAACCCUGAUCCAGCCAUGCCGCGUGUGUGAAGAAGGCCUUUUGGUUGUAAAGCACUUUAAGCAGGGAGGAGAGGCUAAUGGUUAAUACCCAUUAGAUUAGACGUUACCUGCAGAAUAAGCACCGGCUAACUCUGUGCCAGCAGCCGCGGUAAUACAGAGGGUGCGAGCGUUAAUCGGAAUUACUGGGCGUAAAGCGAGUGUAGGUGGCUCAUUAAGUCACAUGUGAAAUCCCCGGGCUUAACCUGGGAACUGCAUGUGAUACUGGUGGUGCUAGAAUAUGUGAGAGGGAAGUAGAAUUCCAGGUGUAGCGGUGAAAUGCGUAGAGAUCUGGAGGAAUACCGAUGGCGAAGGCAGCUUCCUGGCAUAAUAUUGACACUGAGAUUCGAAAGCGUGGGUAGCAAACAGGAUUAGAUACCCCUGGUAGUCCACGCCGUAAACGAUGUCUACUAGCCGUUGGGGUCCUUGAGACUUUAGUGGCGCAGUUAACGCGAUAAGUAGACCGCCUGGGGAGUACGGCCGCAAGGUUA